GGGCGAUUAGCUCAGUUGGUAGAGCAACCCCUUUACACGGGGAAGGUCACAGGUUCGAGUCCUGUAUCGCCCA
Non-coding RNA from Candidatus Adlerbacteria bacterium, 73 nucleotides. NCBI's taxonomy places the organism in Bacteria, Candidatus Adleribacteriota. The record is from Rfam.